ACAAAAGUCUCCCAAACUCAUUGUAGGAUUGUAGGUGCUUCCCUAAAGCUAUGCAUACAGUUGAAAAGGAUGAUAUCCCUCAAAACAGAAGGGCCUAUCUUCUUAGAUCAAGGGCAUAGGAGUAACUGUGCUUUUCUGUUAGAACCUCCAGACAAGCUUUCAAGGUAUUGGGAUAUUUUAUGGCAGUAAAAAGACAAUGAUUAUGUAUUGGCUUAUUU
Molecule: small nuclear RNA, 218 nt
Filed under: Cricetulus griseus (Chinese hamster)
Lineage: Eukaryota; Metazoa; Chordata; Mammalia; Rodentia; Cricetidae
Description: 7SK RNA
Rfam family: 7SK RNA
About the family: 7SK was discovered as an abundant small nuclear RNA in the mid-70s but a possible function has only recently been suggested. Two independent studies have found that 7SK RNA binds the CDK9/cyclin T complex (known as elongation factor P-TEFb).
Source: Rfam by way of RNAcentral